Molecule: non-coding RNA, 21 nt
Filed under: Caenorhabditis elegans
Lineage: Eukaryota; Metazoa; Nematoda; Chromadorea; Rhabditida; Rhabditidae
Source: RNAcentral
UCGGGCGUUGAUAUACUUAAA